UCAAACUUGGUCAUUUAGAGGAAGUAAAAGUCGUAACAAGGUCUCCGUUGGUGAACCAGCGGAGGGAUCAUUACCGAGUUUACAGCUCCCAAACCCAAUGUGAACCUUUACCAGACCGUUGCCUCGGCGGGGUCACGCCCCGGGCGCGUCGCAGCCCCGGAACCAGGCGCCCGCCGCGGGGACCAACCAAACCCCUAACCUCAGCCCCCCGCGGGCGUGAAUUCCUAUGGCCUCUGAGCGAAAAAAAAAAAUUCAAAAUGAAUCAAAACUUUCAACAACGGAUCUCUUGGCUCUGGCAUCGAUGAAGAACGCAGC
Molecule: unclassified non-coding RNA, 315 nt
Filed under: uncultured fungus
Lineage: Eukaryota; Fungi
Description: partial contains small subunit ribosomal RNA, internal transcribed spacer 1, and 5.8S ribosomal RNA
Rfam family: Eukaryotic small subunit ribosomal RNA (bases 1-73)
Source: RNAcentral